GACGAACGCUGGCGGCGUGCCUAAUACAUGCAAGUCGAACGAGAGCGACCGGUGCUUGCACUGGUCAAUCUAGUGGCGAACGGGUGAGUAACACGUGGGUAACCUGCCCAUCAGAGGGGGAUAACAUCCGGAAACGGAUGCUAAAACCGCAUAGGUCUUCGAGCCGCAUGGCUUGAAGAGGAAAAGAGGCGCAAGCUUCUGCUGAUGGAUGGACCCGCGGUGCAUUAGCUAGUUGGUGAGGUAACGGCUCACCAAGGCCGUGAUGCAUAGCCGACCUGAGAGGGUGAUCGGCCACAUUGGGACUGAGACACGGCCCAAACUCCUGCGGGAGGCAGCAGUAGGGAAUCUUCCGCAAUGGACGCAAGUCUGACGGAGCAACGCCGCGUGAGUGAAGAAGGUUUUCGGAUCGUAAAACUCUGUUGUUAGAGAAGAACAAGUGCUAGAGUAACUGUUAGCGCCUUGACGGUAUCUAACCAGAAAGCCACGGCUAACUACGUG
This 498-nucleotide ribosomal RNA is filed under the name uncultured bacterium. Its description in RNAcentral is "partial 16S ribosomal RNA". It matches the Rfam family "Bacterial small subunit ribosomal RNA", at positions 28 to 507 of the family's 1533-position model. The record is from RNAcentral.